RNAcentral lists this transfer RNA (71 nucleotides) under Murexia rothschildi (short-haired marsupial mouse). RNAcentral describes it as "Paramurexia rothschildi tRNA-Gln". It matches the Rfam family "tRNA". From Rfam's summary of the family: Transfer RNA (tRNA) molecules are approximately 80 nucleotides in length. Their secondary structure includes four short double-helical elements and three loops (D, anti-codon, and T loops). The record is from RNAcentral. Lineage: Eukaryota; Metazoa; Chordata; Mammalia; Dasyuromorphia; Dasyuridae.
UAGGAUGUGGUGUAAUGGAAGCACAAAGAGUUUUGAGUUCUUCAGUAUAGGUUCGAAUCCUGUUAUUCUAG